This 454-nucleotide ribosomal RNA is filed under the name uncultured bacterium. Its description in RNAcentral is "bacterial SSU rRNA". It matches the Rfam family "Bacterial small subunit ribosomal RNA", at positions 340 to 786 of the family's 1533-position model. The record is from RNAcentral.
UACGGGAGGCAGCAGUGGGGAAUAUUGCACAAUGGGCGAAAGCCUGAUGCAGCUAUGCCGCGUGUAUGAAGAAGGCCUUAGGGUUGUAAAGUACUUUCAUCGGGGAGGAAAAACAAAACUAAUAAUUUUAUUUCUUGACGUUACCCGAAAAAGAAGCACCGGCUAACUCCGUGCCAGCAGCCGCGGUAAUACGGAGGGUGCUAGCGUUAAUCAGAAUUACUGGGCGUAAAGAGCACGUAGGUGGUUUUUUUAAAGUCAGAUGUGAAAUCCCUGGGCUUAACCUGGAACUGCAUUUUGAAACUGAAAUACUAGAGUAUCGUAGAGGGAGGUAGAAUUCUAGGUGUAGCGGUGAAAUGCGUAGAUAUCUGGAGGAAUACCUGUGGCGAAAGCGGCCUCCUAAACGAAUACUGACACUGAGGUGCGAAAGCUGGGGAGCAAACAGGGAUUAGAUACC